This 382-nucleotide ribosomal RNA is filed under the name uncultured eukaryote. RNAcentral's name for it is "partial 18S ribosomal RNA". It matches the Rfam family "Eukaryotic small subunit ribosomal RNA", at positions 592 to 976 of the family's 1831-position model. The record is from RNAcentral.
UGUAAGCGUAUACCAAAGUUGUUGCAGUUAAAACGCUCGUAGUCGGAAUUUGGCAGUUCCGGAUGUGUGCACGUCGUGUGCGCACUUCGCGGGGAUUGCUUUUGUGGUCUUGCGUAGGAUGAGGCACUUUUAUUAGUGAACGUCCUCACGCAACCACUUUUUACUGUGAGAAAAUCAGAGUGCUCAAGGCAGGCAUUUGCCGUGAAUGUAUUAGCAUGGAAUAAUAGAAUAGGACUUGGUUCUAUUUUGUUGGUUUGUUGGGACUGAGUAAUGAUUAAGAGGGACAGUUGGGGGCAUUUGUAUUUCGGUGCUAGAGGUGAAAUUCUUAGAUUACCGAAAGACAAACUGCUGCGAAAGCGUCUGCCAAGGAUGUUUUCAUUGA